This 407-nucleotide ribosomal RNA is filed under the name uncultured eukaryote. Its description in RNAcentral is "partial 18S ribosomal RNA". It matches the Rfam family "Eukaryotic small subunit ribosomal RNA", at positions 554 to 812 of the family's 1831-position model. The record is from RNAcentral.
GGCAAGUCUGGUGCCAGCAGCCGCGGUAAUUCCAGCUCCAAUAGCGUAUGCUAAAGUUGUUGCAGUUAAAAGCUCGUAGUCGGAUCUCGGGUGAGGUGGCGCACUGAACGGCGGAAGGGAAACCCCGGAAGCCGCGAUUGCGUCGCGCAGCAAUGUUUGGGGAAUGGUCCGCCGGGAUGGCGAGUACCAGCCCCACUCACCCCUAGCGGUGGUGGAAAGGGCGGUUGAGGGAAACCGAGACCUCACCCGGUCUGCCACUAAAUAAUAGGCUUCCAGAAGGGGCGACCCCCCUAAUCUUUAUUGAUGUGCGGGUUAGGCGCGCACCUCUGGAUCGUUUACUUUGAAGAAAUUAGAGUGUUUAAAGCAGGCGCACACAGAGCAACGGGUCGUCGACCGUCAAAAGUUGG